RNAcentral lists this long non-coding RNA (749 nucleotides) under Nicotiana benthamiana. RNAcentral's name for it is "long non-coding RNA (NBEN_LNC034168)". The record is from RNAcentral. Lineage: Eukaryota; Viridiplantae; Streptophyta; Magnoliopsida; Solanales; Solanaceae.
CCCAGAUUCAUUAUCUUUGCCUCCCUCAUAAAGCUUCAUUAGCUCGCAUAGUCCCAGCAACAAAUAAGCCUGAGCCAAAUGCCCACCUUCAUUACCUUCAGCUUCCUGAUAGUCUUUGAUCCUUUUCAGAAACUUGCCUUCCAGCUCCACUAGACCCCGUUCCAAGUACCCUAAAUGCUUCAGCUUCCUGAUAGUCUUUGAUCCUUUUCAGAAACUUGCCUUCCAGCGCCACCAUACCCUGUUCCAAGUACCCUAAACGGUUGCUUGCUCGGACAACCAUGUCUUUCCAUUCAUUGAUUACCUUCUUUUGAGCCUCUAGUAUUUCCCGAUGUUCACUCUCGCUUGCGUAGCUGGUUGUACUCGACCUUUGUUGCAGCCUCCUCAUCAAUAACCCUGUGACCAUGGAUGAAACCUAUUUUUUCCAAGCCAACAUGAUCAUCUUCUAACCAUCCUGGAUAAAGUGGCGCAUGCCUCGCCUGAUACCUGUCUAGUUCCAUUGAUUCCUUUUCUACAAUGAUCUUGGAGUGCCACAUAUGCUGAGCUCGGCACCUGUGUGGGCUAUCGUCAUCCUGGAAAUCAGCUCUGUAAUGACUCAUCUUUUCCACUCUUGAUAUAAUCUGCUUCCUACCAGCUUGCCUCAUGACUCGGAGAGGGACAUAGGGGUAUGUUCCUCUCAAGCCGAUGAGAACAAGGAAUGGCGCAUCCCUAGACCGAAUGAUGAACUCUCCAGUUGGAAACCACUAGUUCAU